Molecule: ribosomal RNA, 386 nt
Filed under: uncultured bacterium
Lineage: Bacteria
Description: bacterial SSU rRNA
Rfam family: Bacterial small subunit ribosomal RNA
Source: RNAcentral
ACUCCUACGGGAGGCAGCAGUGGGGAAUAUUGCACAAUGGGGGAAACCCUGAUGCAGCCAUGCCGCGUGUGUGAAGAAGGCCUUCGGGUUGUAAAGCACUUUCAGUAGGAGGAAGGUAGUGUAGUUAACACCUGCAUUAUUUGUACGUUACCUACAGAAGAAGCACCGGCUAACGUCCGUGCCAGCAGCCGCGGUAAUACGGAGGGUGCGAGCGUUAAUCGGAAUUACUGGGCGUAAAGCGCAUGCAGGCGGCCUGUUAAGUCAGAUGUGAAAGCCCGGGGCUUAACCUCGGAAUUGCAUUUGAAACUGGCAGGCUAGAGUCUUGUAGAGGGGUUAGAAUUUCAGGUGUAGCGGUGAAAUGCGUAGAGAUCUGAAGGAAUACCAGU